RNAcentral lists this ribosomal RNA (465 nucleotides) under uncultured Leuconostoc sp. RNAcentral describes it as "bacterial SSU rRNA". It matches the Rfam family "Bacterial small subunit ribosomal RNA", at positions 338 to 795 of the family's 1533-position model. Lineage: Bacteria; Bacillati; Bacillota; Bacilli; Lactobacillales; Lactobacillaceae. The record is from RNAcentral.
CCUACGGGAGGCAGCAGUAGGGAAUCUUCCACAAUGGGCGAAAGCCUGAUGGAGCAACGCCGCGUGUGUGAUGAAGGCUUUCGGGUCGUAAAGCACUGUUGUAUGGGAAGAACAGCUAGAAUCGGAAAUGAUUUUAGUUUGACGGUUCCAUACCAGAAAGGGACGGCAAAAUACGUGCCAGCAGCCGCGUUAAUACGUGUGUCCCGAGGGUUAUCCGGAUUUAUUGGGCGUAAAGCGAGCGCAGACGGUAUAGUAAGUCUGAUGUGAAAGUCCGGGGCUCAACUCCGGAAUGGCAUUGGAAACUGGUUAACUUGAGUGCAGUAGAGGUAAGUGGAACUCCAUGUGUAGCGGUGAAAUUCGUAGAUAUAUGGAAGAACACCAGUGGCGAAGGCGGCUUACUGGACUGCAACUGACGUUGAGGCUCGAAAGUGUGGGGAGCAAACAGGAUUAGAUACCCUAGUAGUC